UGAGCAAUCUGCCCUUCUCUUCGGAAUAAGCGUUGGAAACGACGUCUAAUGCCGAAUACGACCUCCUUUCGCAUGAUCGGAGGUGGAAAGCUCCGGCGGAGAAGGAUGAGCUCGCGGCCUAUCAGCUAGUUGGUGUGGGUAAUGGCCCACCAAGGCGACGACGGGUAGCCGGCCUGGGAGGGUGACCGGCCACACUGGGACUGAGACACGGCCCAGACUCCGUACGGGAGGCAGCAGG
This 238-nucleotide ribosomal RNA is filed under the name uncultured bacterium. Its description in RNAcentral is "partial 16S ribosomal RNA". It matches the Rfam family "Bacterial small subunit ribosomal RNA", at positions 118 to 354 of the family's 1533-position model. The record is from RNAcentral.